GACGAACGCUGGCGGCGUGCUUAACACAUGCAAGUCGAACGAAGUGGCGAACGGGUGAGUAACGCGCAAUCAACCUGACCUUCAGAGGGGGACAACAGUUGGAAACGACUGCUAAUACCACACACUGAAGGAGGGGAUGGCGUCUGACUAGCUAGUUGGAGGGGUAACGCCCCACCAAGGCGAUGAUCAGUAGCCGGUCUGAGAGGAUGAACGGCCACAUUGGGACUGAGACACGGCCCAGACUCCUACGGGAGGCAGCCGUGGGGAAUCUUCCGCAAUGGACGAAAGUCUGACGGAGCAACGCCGCGUGAGUGAUGACGGCCUUCGGGUUGUAAAGCUCUGUUAAUCGGGACGCGGUACCGGAAUAGAAAGCCACGGCUAACUACGUGCCAGCCGCCGCGGUAAUAC
Molecule: ribosomal RNA, 408 nt
Filed under: uncultured bacterium
Lineage: Bacteria
Description: partial 16S ribosomal RNA
Rfam family: Bacterial small subunit ribosomal RNA
Source: RNAcentral